Microcebus murinus (gray mouse lemur) is the source of this 4592-nucleotide non-coding RNA. The record is from RefSeq and is a predicted model, not a curated record. NCBI's taxonomy places the organism in Eukaryota, Metazoa, Chordata, Mammalia, Primates, Cheirogaleidae.
CCGCCUCGGCCUCCCAGAGUGCUAGGAUUACAGAUGUGAGCCACUACGCCCAGCCUAAUCCCUGUUUUGAUGCCCCUGGAAAUAAAAAAAGAAAAUCUGUUGCAUUAGAAAAGCUUCCUGACAAAGUGCCGUGAGGGCAACACAGGAGGGUCAGCGUCGAGGCACAAUGAAGGAGGAAGGGCGGGUGUUGGGCUGGCGAUUUCAGAACUAGAAGCACAAUCUCCAGGAGAAGCUUUAAAUUUUUUUCUCUCAGUAAACACAGUUAAAUGUCUAAGAAAAGCAGGUGGGAAAGCUGUGGGCGUAUCUCUUUGGACUUUCUGAAGAUACAGCUUGCUCUGCAGGGAAUGAAGGAAAGAAACCUGCCCGUGAGCAGGGUGCUGGUUAGGUGACUGCUAGUCCUACACUGUACUCUGUUGAGUCCAUAUUAAAGAGUAGAGCUGCACAUUUUAGACAAAGUAUUUAAAAACACUUAGAUAAGUAUAUUUCUGGAGCCGUGCAGCUAGCAAAGCACUCGCAUUGUGCUAAUCCACUUAGUAACCCUGGCUCCUGUUGGCAAAUGGGUGCUGGCAGUUGAAGAGACGCUGCCACAGGCAUAGACACUGGGGAUUUGUCCUGGCUGAGUGACAUCCCCUUUUUGGCCCUGUGUCUUUGUUCCACUGCUGGCUGAAGCCUCAGGACUGACAGCCUGGUUUAACAUCCAUUUCUAGCUCGGCCCUAGAGGACACGGCACACACAUCUGCUGCUGGCCCUCCGCUGUGACUUUCUCCUGUCCUCCACAGACCUAUCCUGGGCCCCAAGGGACUGAAUGAUGGGGACAACCUGGAACGUUGUCCUAUAAAGAUACACUCUGUCAAAAGAGUUAAUCUCUUGGGGUUAAUAUCUCUGUUAAGGGAAGAAUAAUUAGAAAAUUAAUAAUGCCUAUUAUUGUUUCCUAAAACAAGGGCAUUCAUCUUUAUAAACUUUAGGAAAUGAAAUUGUACUUACAGUGCUGUGAGUUACAUUUUAGUUUCCAGGAUUUUGCAUGUCAAGCCAGGGAGCUGGGUUCUACUUUUAAAGUUAAUAGUUCUAAUGAUAAGUCCUUUUAGUUGAAAAUUUAGCUUGGGCAAGAGAGGUACACACACAUACACCUGAACUUCACUAGGUAAUCAUGGACAUAAACCUUUAGCAAAGAGAACAUAGCAUUAAAUUCUUAUAGUCUUUUGAUGGAGUCUUGAAGAAGUGGGAAAAUCUGGAAUCCAGUCUCUUCCCACUAGGAGGGUUCCCUGUGGGCAUAUUACUGCAGUCUCAUUUAUAAGAAAGAAAAUCCCAUGGGAACUAAAUCUGUUUCACAAAGUCCUAAUAACCAAUCUGCUCACCAGAAAUGAAUAUGAUAAUGAGACUUGUGGUCUGUGAAGGGCACCUUCAGUCAGUCACCAUUAUGUCACUAAGCCACCUUAUGUCUUAUCUGAGUUCACAAAACACUGGCAUGUGAGUGACCUUGUUUGAUUCUCCUGACAGUCUCAGAGAUAGAUAAGGCAGGUCAUCAUUUUCCCUCAUUUUGCAAAUAAGUAAACUGUGGUCCAAAGAGGUUGAGACUUGCUUGAGUUCUCAUAACCAGAAAGUGUCAUAUCUUGGGCUGGAAACCAGCUCUUUGAAAUCUGUCUGUCCUUUUGCUGCUGUGCCAUUCUGACUUGAAGUGUGUGCUGUCACGAGGCAAGGGUCCCGCCAAGAGCUUUAUAAAGCUGGUAAAUCAUCACACCAAGUGCCUUAGAACUGCUCAGGAUGACUGUCCCUUUACCUGCUGAUCAUGGUCUUUAGGCUCUUCAGAGAGGAAGUCCAGCCCUCUAACCCUGGGCAUGCUCUGCCCUGCAGAGAUGGGUGUUCAUUUGUUCUGAUGUGAAGCCUGCUGCCAGGUAUGGCUCCUGGCAAACCAUGAGCUGCCCCGGCCAGGAGAGGCAAGAAUCAUUUACCAUGAAGCUUGGCUGUGGCCUUGUACUCCAUGGACCUUGUGUCUGCAGCUAAUGAUUGUAGAACAAAAACAAAAUUAAGCCACUACAGACAAAAGGGGGAAAUGGAUUUACAAAUAAUGAGUACAUGAUAAUGAUGAUGAUGAUACAUUUUGUUACAUCUUUCACUCCAGAGCAGAGAUGAUAGGACAUAGCAUUAUAUUAUGUUCUGAUGCCCAUAGCACCUUAAAAACAAUUAUGUAAAUGGCUGGAAAGAGCCCUGAGCUGGCAAUCAGCAGUAUUCUGGUUCUCCUUGCCAAGGGCCUUCAGCUAUAACCAUAUACCUUUGUCCCUUACACACUUCUCUACUUUGCCUUGCUUUCCUCAUCUAUAAAAUGGGGAUGAUUUUGCCUAAACCUCAUACUCUGUUACAGGAUGAACCAGAUUGCAAAUGUGAAGUGCCUGAAUGAAGUAUUGCAUAGACAAGAUGAUAAAAAACGUCUCUGGUUACUUGAGCAUCUCAGAAGGAAUAUCUGGAAAAUAUAACUAGCUGAUAUUUCAUAGUAUUUUACGAAAUAUUUUCAGAUGGAUUCUUCCUUUGUCUGUCACAAACUAUGAUACCUGCCUGCCUUUUGCACGCCGGGAAAUGGAAGUUCUUGCUCAUGUCACAUCACUGAGCUUCAAAGACCAUCAGAAUUUCCUGAGUGACAGGAGUGUCUUUGUUGUACUAAUGAGGUGACUCAGGCUGACCCCUGGACAGCGUCAGGAUGGAGACUGGCCACCAGAAGGACCACACAUGUGAUUAGAGGGCUGGAACUUUGGAACAGCUUGACCUCUAAGAAAGAAAGGGUCGCUGAGGACUGAGUUCAAUCAUGUGGCCACUGAUUUAAUCGAUUGCACCUGUGCAAUGAAACACCAACAGCAAGCCUGGACGCCAAAGCUCCUGGAGCUUCCUGGCUGGUGCGGCUGGGACAGAGUGACCACACCAGACGCUGGAAAUAUGUGGCUGAUCCUAGGUGCCCUCUGCCCCUCGCUUGUUCUCGCCCUGUGCCCUCGAUGCCACGGAAAGCCAGCCGUCAAGAGGAGGAAAGCCACGUCAGCGCCGCUCUUUCAUACAUGCCAGGACGUGUUCUCCUCGUGGAUCCAGUGCACUUGACACACAAUUUGCGACUCUUUUGGCUACUCAGAGAAGGAUGAAUUGGGACUGAAACCGGUCUUAGCAGAUAGCAGUUUGGAGAGGCGCUAUCUCUGGGGGUGGUGGUGGCUGGAGUGGAUGACCUGGCCAAGCACCAUCACAGAAAAUUCUUAGCUGGGAUCUCUUUGAAUAUUGCUUCUCACCAUUGCUGAUAUUCUCUCAAUCUGAAAUUCACAUCAGGCCGUGACAGUGCUCCAUGGUAACAUCGUCCCUGCCAGGGCACCUCUGAAUGCAGAUGAGGCCAUGCAUAUGAAAGCACUUUGUGAACAGGACGGUGCUCGGUACAUGCAGAUCGCCCCUACGAAUUGCACACGUCUACUUGUUCACCAUGAGCUAUCCUCCUCGGUCUAGCCUGCUUUGAAAUCCAUCAACCUGAUAUCUCAAGUGGGAUGACUCACUGCCACAAUGUUUGAAAUGUGAUAGGCUUGGCAGGGGAUGUAUGCACUGAGUUUGUCUCCCUCCCUAGCCCUGCCCUUUGGCCACAUUUUGUCUCCCUGUCAGCUGUUGGGCCCAGCCUCACACAGAGACUCAGACCUUUGAGACUAAAAUAGCCGUGACUAGGCAAUGCCACUGGUAGUCUAAAUAACUGCCUUCUCUCUUUAAAUGCCUGCAUUGGAUUUAUUGCCAAUGGUUGGAUCGAUUCCUCGGUGCUCAACUGCAAUCCAAGUCUUUAAGUCUUUCUGAACCUCCACUUCAGCUACUUCAUUGAGAUGGAUGGGCUGGGGGUGCCACCCCCAGGGCAGAGAGCUCUGUCUGCAUGGAGCCUUAGGGAUAAAAAUACACCUGGCUACGGGGGCAAAGGAGCAGAGAAACAGUCCCUACGUUCACUUCCCCUGGUGCCUGGGGGCCACGCGACCUGCAGCUGCUGGGACAGCUCGUGUGGGGCGGGGCGUGCACGGAGGCCGUCCUCACAGGGGCUGCAUUUGCUGAGUGUGAACAAUUUCACACUUGGGUCUCUGGCAGUCCCAGCAGGUCCAUCCCUGCUUUAGUGGAGAAGCUAAAAGCUUCUUCAGGUCAGCAGGCUGUGCCUCUGGGUCCCGGUGGCCUCUGGGGGCAACCACAACAACACAGAGCAGGGAAGAAACAGCUCGUGACCUCGUCUGUGUUUUCAGUGAUUGGCGGCCGCCAGCCUGGCGCUCUGGCCAGGCCCUGCCAACUGCCCGCCUAGGCCCACAUUGCCCUCCUCAUCCAGCCUGCCUCCGUGGGGACAGACAGCCCACGGGCCCUCGCGUGUAGCUGGUGUGUGCCGUUGCUGCCCUCUCCCUGCAGGACAGAUCCCCAGGGGCCCUGUGCCCCCAGAUCACACAGUCUGCCUUGUGUGCAUUUGGGUCGCAGUGAACGUCCCAGCCAUUAUAACUUACUCUGUGAUCCCUAGCUAGCCUUCAGAAGUCUAGGUAGGCAGCUUUUGGCCACAAAAAGAAGACACUACCUAUAUUUCCAAGGAUUUGAGUAAAGCUUGAAGUUGGUGCAGA